GCCAUCCCAGAACCCGUGGCACCCCCUGCCCCUCCAGCUCCCCCUGCCAUGCCAAGACCUGGGGAACCCCCUGCCCCUCGAGCCCCUGAAAUGCUUCUUGCUAAUCCAGCCCCAGAAGCUCUCACGGUGGAGUAGUGUCAUUACCAUGGCUGAAUAAAGCUGGAAAACCUGAUUUUUCAUUCAGAUUUUACACUUUGGUGGCUUUUGAGUAAAUCCCCUCUGCGUAUGCA
Molecule: long non-coding RNA, 230 nt
Organism: Ornithorhynchus anatinus (platypus)
Lineage: Eukaryota; Metazoa; Chordata; Mammalia; Monotremata; Ornithorhynchidae
Exons: 2
Source: RefSeq, a predicted model, not a curated record